UACGAAGGGUGCAAGCGUUACUCGGAAUUACUGGGCGUAAAGCGUGCGUAGGUGGGUUGUUAAGUCUGAUGUGAAAGCCCUGGGCUCAACCUGGGAACGGCAUUGGAAACUGGCUUACUAGAGUGCGGUAGAGGGGUGUGGAAUUCCCGGUGUAGCAGUGAAAUGCGUAGAUAUCGGGAGGAACAUCUGUGGCGAAGGCGACACCCUGGACCAGCACUGACACUGAGGCACGAAAGCGUGGGGAGCAAACAGG
Molecule: ribosomal RNA, 253 nt
Filed under: uncultured bacterium
Lineage: Bacteria
Description: partial 16S ribosomal RNA
Rfam family: Bacterial small subunit ribosomal RNA
Source: RNAcentral